Molecule: ribosomal RNA, 392 nt
Filed under: uncultured bacterium
Lineage: Bacteria
Description: bacterial SSU rRNA
Rfam family: Bacterial small subunit ribosomal RNA
Source: RNAcentral
UGGCGGAAUGGUUUACACAUGCAAGUCGAACGGCAGCACGGGGCAACCUGGUGGCGAGUGGCGAACGGGUGAGUAAUACAUCGGAACGUGCCCAAUCGUGGGGGAUAACGUAGCGAAAGUUACGCUAAUACCGCAUACGAUCUACGGAUGAAAGCGGGGGAUCGCAAGACCUCGCGCGAAUGGAGCGGCCGAUGUCAGAUUAGGUAGUUGGUGGGGUAAAGGCUCACCAAGCCGACGAUCUGUAGCUGGUCUGAGAGGACGACCAGCCACACUGGGACUGAGACACGGCCCAGACUCCUACGGGAGGCAGCAGUGGGGAAUUUUGGACAAUGGGCGCAAGCCUGAUCCAGCCAUUCCGCGUGCAGGAUGAAGGCCUUCGGGUUGUAAACUGC